GAGCGGAGAUGAGGUGCUUGCACCUUAUCUUAGCGGCGGACGGGUGAGUAAUGCUUAGGAAUCUGCCUAUUAGUGGGGGACAACAUUUCGAAAGGAAUGCUAAUACCGCAUACGCCCUACGGGGGAAAGCAGGGGAUCUUCGGACCUUGCGCUAAUAGAUGAGCCUAAGUCGGAUUAGCUAGUUGGUGGGGUAAAGGCCUACCAAGGCGACGAUCUGUAGCGGGUCUGAGAGGAUGAUCCGCCACACUGGGACUGAGACACGGCCCAGACUCCUACGGGAGGCAGCAGUGGGGAAUAUUGGACAAUGGGGGGAACCCUGAUCCAGCCAUGCCGCGUGUGUGAAGAAGGCCUUUUGGUUGUAAAGCACUUUAAGCGAGGAGGAGGAGCUCUAGAUUAAUACUCUAGAUGCUUGGACGUUACUCGCAGAAUAAGCACCGGCUAACUCUGUGCCAGCAGCCGCGGUAAUACAGAGGGUGCAAGCGUUAAUCGGAUUUACUGGGCGUAAAGCGUGCGUAGGUGGUCUUUUAAGUCGGAUGUGAAAUCCCUGAGCUUAACUUAGGAAUUGCAUUCGAUACUGGGAGACUAGAGUAUGGGAGAGGAUGGUAGAAUUCCAGGUGUAGCGGUGAAAUGCGUAGAGAUCUGGAGGAAUACCGAUGGCGAAGGCAGCCAUCUGGCCUAAUACUGACACUGAGGUACGAAAGCAUGGGGAGCAAACAGGAUUAGAUACCCUGGUAGUCCAUGCCGUAAACGAUGUCUACUAGCCGUUGGGGCCUUUGAGGCUUUAGUGG
Molecule: ribosomal RNA, 788 nt
Filed under: Acinetobacter junii
Lineage: Bacteria; Pseudomonadati; Pseudomonadota; Gammaproteobacteria; Moraxellales; Moraxellaceae
Description: bacterial SSU rRNA
Rfam family: Bacterial small subunit ribosomal RNA
Source: RNAcentral